AUGCAAGUCGAGCGGAUGACGGGAGCUUGCUCCUUGAUUCAGCGGCGGACGGGUGAGUAAUGCCUAGGAAUCUGCCUGGUAGUGGGGGACAACGUUUCGAAAGGAACGCUAAUACCGCAUACGUCCUACGGGAGAAAGCAGGGGACCUUCGGGCCUUGCGCUAUCAGAUGAGCCUAGGUCGGAUUAGCUUGAUGGUGAGGUAAUGGCUCACCAAGGCGACGAUCCGUAACUGGUCUGAGAGGAUGAUCAGUCACACUGGAACUGAGACACGGUCCAGACUCCUACGGGAGGCAGCAGUGGGGAAUAUUGGACAAUGGGCGAAAGCCUGAUCCAGCCAUGCCGCGUGUGUGAAGAAGGUCUUCGGAUUGUAAAGCACUUUAAGUUGGGAGGAAGGGCAGUAAGUUAAUACCUUGCUGUUUUGACGUUACCGACAGAAUAAGCACCGGCUAACUCUGUGCCAGCAGCCGCGGUAAUACAGAGGGUGCAAGCGUUAAUCGGAAUUACUGGGCGUAAAGCGCGCGUAGGUGGUUUGUUAAGUUGGAUGUGAAAGCCCCGGGCUCAACCUGGGAACUGCAUCCAAAACUGGCAAGCUAGAGUA
RNAcentral lists this ribosomal RNA (598 nucleotides) under uncultured Gammaproteobacteria bacterium. RNAcentral's name for it is "bacterial SSU rRNA". It matches the Rfam family "Bacterial small subunit ribosomal RNA", at positions 55 to 648 of the family's 1533-position model. Lineage: Bacteria; Pseudomonadati; Pseudomonadota; Gammaproteobacteria. The record is from RNAcentral.